CGUAGGUUUUCAUAGUACCAGUA
This 23-nucleotide microRNA is filed under the name Plutella xylostella (diamondback moth). RNAcentral describes it as "pxy-miR-8512". Lineage: Eukaryota; Metazoa; Arthropoda; Insecta; Lepidoptera; Plutellidae. The record is from miRBase by way of RNAcentral.